This 252-nucleotide ribosomal RNA is filed under the name uncultured bacterium. Its description in RNAcentral is "partial 16S ribosomal RNA". It matches the Rfam family "Bacterial small subunit ribosomal RNA", at positions 524 to 775 of the family's 1533-position model. The record is from RNAcentral.
UACGAAGGGGGCUAGCGUUGCUCGGAAUUACUGGGCGUAAAGCGCACGUAGGCGGAUCGUUAAGUCGGGGGUGAAAUCCUGGAGCUCAACUCCAGAACUGCCCUCGAUACUGGCAAUCUCGAGUCCGGGAGAGGUGAGUGGAACUCCGAGUGUAGAGGUGAAAUUCGUAGAUAUUCGGAAGAGCACCAGUGGCGAAGGCGGCUCACUGGCCCGGUACUGACGCUGAGGUGCGAAAGCGUGGGGAGCAAACAG